This 406-nucleotide ribosomal RNA is filed under the name uncultured bacterium. RNAcentral's name for it is "bacterial SSU rRNA". It matches the Rfam family "Bacterial small subunit ribosomal RNA", at positions 97 to 518 of the family's 1533-position model. The record is from RNAcentral.
GGCGGACGGGUGAGUAACGCGUGGGUAACCUGCCUCAUACAGGGGGAUAACAGUCGGAAACGAUUGCUAAAACCGCAUAAUAUAGCGAAACCGCAUGAUUUUGCUAUCAAAUAUUUAUAGGUAUGAGAUGGGCCCGCGUCUGAUUAGCUAGUUGGUGGGGUAAUGGCCGUACCAAGGCGACGAUCAGUAGCCGGCUUGAGAGAGUGACCGGCCACAUUGGGACUGAGACACGGCCCAAACUCCUACGGGAGGCAGCAGUGGGGAAUAUUGGACAAUGGGGGAAACCCUGAUCCAGCGAACCGCCGCGUGAGUGAAGAAGUAUUUCGGUAUGUAAAGCUCUAUCAGCAGGGAAGAUAAUGGCAGUACCUGACUAAGAAGCCCCGGCUAACUACGUGCCAGCCGCAGC